Molecule: ribosomal RNA, 253 nt
Filed under: uncultured bacterium
Lineage: Bacteria
Description: partial 16S ribosomal RNA
Rfam family: Bacterial small subunit ribosomal RNA
Source: RNAcentral
UACAGAGGUCCCGAGCGUUGUUCGGAUUCAUUGGGCGUAAAGGGUGCGUAGGCGGCUUGCUAAGUUUGAUGUGAAAUCCUGGAGCUCAACUCCAGAACUGCCUUUGAUACUGAGGAUCUUGAGUUCGGGAGAGGUGAGUGGAACUGCGAGUGUAGAGGUGAAAUUCGUAGAUAUUCGCAAGAACACCAGUGGCGAAGGCGGCUCACUGGCCCGAUACUGACGCUGAGGCACGAAAGCGUGGGGAGCAAACAGG